Molecule: ribosomal RNA, 116 nt
Filed under: Diaphorina citri (Asian citrus psyllid)
Lineage: Eukaryota; Metazoa; Arthropoda; Insecta; Hemiptera; Psyllidae
Source: RNAcentral
GCGCGGAAGUAGCACGUUAAAUGCACCGCUUCUCAAUGGAUCACUGAAGUUAACCAACGUUGCACGUGGUUGGUAUCCGCAAGGGUGACCUCCUGGACAAUCGCGUGCUGAUUGCA